GCAUACAAGAAGUGUAGGGCGAGGAUAUAGCUCAAGGUUAGAGCAUAUGCUUAGCAUGCACAAGUUCCUGGGUUCAAUCCCCAGUACCACCUCUAAGAAUAAAUAAGUAAGCAAGCCUAAUUACCUACCCC
This is a non-coding RNA of Vicugna pacos (alpaca), 131 nucleotides long. Lineage: Eukaryota; Metazoa; Chordata; Mammalia; Artiodactyla; Camelidae. The record is from RefSeq and is a predicted model, not a curated record.